CGAUUAAGUUAUAAAGGGCGCACGGCGAAUGCCUUGGCAUCAGGAGCCGAAGAAGGACGUGAUAAGCUGCGAUAAGCUUUGGGUAGCCGCAAAUAGGCAGAGAUCCAAAGAUUUCCGAAUGAGGAAACUCACAUGGGAAACCCCAUGUAUCCUGUAAUGAAUAAAUAGUUGCAGGAAGGUAAACCCAGGGAACUGAAACAUCUAAGUACCUGGAGGAAGAGAAAGAAACAUCGAUUCUCUAAGUAGCGGCGAGCGAAAGGGGAAGAGCCCAAACCAAGAAUUUAUUCUUGGGGUUGAGGACAGAACAUAAAAUGAAUGGUAAUCUUAGUCGAACACAACUGGAAGGUUGGGCCGCAGAGUGUAAAAGCCACGUAAGCGAAAAGAUAAUAUUCUAAGUUCUGAUCCAGAGUACCACGAGACACGUGAAACCUUGUGGGAAGCAGGGAGGACCACCUCCCAAGGCUAAAUACUACCUGAUGACCGAUAGUGAAGCAGUACCGUGAGGGAAAGGUGAAAAGAACCCCGGGAGGGGAGUGAAAUAGAACCUGAAACCGUGUGCCUACAACCGGUCAGAGCACUUUAUAUGUGUGAUGACGUGCUUUUUGUAGAACGAGCCAGCGAGUUACGGUAUGUAGCGAGGUUAAGGACUUAAGGUC
Molecule: ribosomal RNA, 656 nt
Filed under: Clostridium cadaveris
Lineage: Bacteria; Bacillati; Bacillota; Clostridia; Eubacteriales; Clostridiaceae
Description: partial 23S ribosomal RNA
Rfam family: Bacterial large subunit ribosomal RNA
Source: RNAcentral